RNAcentral lists this ribosomal RNA (450 nucleotides) under uncultured bacterium. RNAcentral's name for it is "partial 16S ribosomal RNA". It matches the Rfam family "Bacterial small subunit ribosomal RNA", at positions 354 to 796 of the family's 1533-position model. The record is from RNAcentral.
GUGGGGAAUCUUCCGCAAUGGACGAAAGUCUGACGGAGCAACGCCGCGUGAGUGAAGAAGGUUUUCGGAUCGUAAAGCUCUCUCGUUAGGGACGAACGUGCUCUUUGUGAAUAAUGAGGAGUAAUGACGGUACCUAAAUAAGAAGCCACGGCUAACUACGUGCCAGCAGCCGCGGUAAUACGUAGGUGGCAAGCGUUGUCCGGAAUUAUUGGGCGUAAAGCGCGCGCAGGCGGGAUAUCAAGUCUGUCUUAAAAGUGCGAGGCUCAACCUCGUGAGGGGACAGAAACUGGUAUUCUUGAGUGUCGGAGAGGAAAGUGGAAUUCCAAGUGUAGCGGUGAAAUGCGUAGAGAUUUGGAAGAACACCAGUGGCGAAGGCGACUUUCUGGACGAUGUCUGACGCUGAGGCGCGAAAGCUAGGGGAGCGAACGGGAUUAGAAACCCGUGUAGUCC